This 1297-nucleotide ribosomal RNA is filed under the name metagenome. RNAcentral's name for it is "SSU rRNA". It matches the Rfam family "Eukaryotic small subunit ribosomal RNA", at positions 1 to 1332 of the family's 1831-position model. The record is from RNAcentral.
UCUGGUUGAUCCUGCCAGUAGUCAUAUGCUUGUCUCAAAGAUUAAGCCAUGCAUGUCUAAGUAUAAAUAGUAUACAGUGAAACUGCGAAUGGCUCAUUAAAACAGUUAUAGUUUAUUUGAUAAUUGACAAUUACAUGGAUAACCGUGGUAAUUCUAGAGCUAAUACAUGCUUAAACGCCCGACUUUAUGGAAGGGUGGUAUUUAUUAGACUGAAGCCAAUAUUCCUUGUGUCUAUUGCGGUGAUUCAUAAUAACUGAUCGAAUCUCUUUUUGAGAUAAAUCAUUCAAGUUUCUGCCCUAUCAGCUUUCGAUGGUAGUGUAUUGGACUACCAUGGCAGUAACGGGUAACGAAGAAUUAGGGUUCGAUUUCGGAGAGGGAGCAUGAGAAACGGCUACCACAUCUAAGGAAGGCAGCAGGCGCGUAAAUUACCCAAUCCUGACUCAGGGAGGUAGUGACAAGAAAUAGCAAACCGGGAACCUCAUGGUUUCACGGUAUUGCAAUGAGAACAAUUUAAAACCCUUAGCGAGAAUCAAGUGGAGGACAAGUCUGGUGCCAGCACCCGCGGUAAUUCCAGCUCCACUAGCGUAUAUUAAAGUUGUUGCAGUUAAAAAGCUCGUAGUUGAACCUCUGUCUGGGGCUAGUUUUGGCUUUGGUCAGGCUAGUUCUAGGCAUCCGCCUACAAGACUUAGAGGGCAUUCAGUUGUUCACUAGGAGGAGUAGGCAUUUUACUUUGAAAAAAUUAGAGUGUUUAAGGCAGGCAAUCGCCCGCAUAUAUUAGCAUGGAAUAAUAGAAUAGGACACUUUUCCAUUUCGUUGGUUAUUGGAAUCGUGUAAUGAUUAAUAGGGACAGUUGUGGGCAUUUGUAUUUAAUUGUCAGAGGUGAAAUUCUUGGAUUUAUUAAAGACAAACUAACGCGAAAGCAUUUGCCAAGGAUGUUUUCAUUAAUCAAGAACGAAAGUUAGGGGAUCAAAGACGAUCAGAUACCGUCCUAGUCUUAACUAUAAACUAUUCCGACUCAAUGUUUGACUGGCUUAUAUAACCAGUUGAGCGUUGUAUGAGAAAUCAAAGUCUUUAGGUUCUGGGGGGAGUAUGGUUGCAAAGCUGAAACUUAAAGGAAUUGACGGAAGAGCACAACCAGGAGUGGAUUCUGCGGCUUAAUUUGACUCAACACGGGGAAACUUACCAGGUCAAAACAAUAGUGGGAUUGACAGUUUGAGAGCGCUUUCUUGAUUGGUUGGGUGGUGGUGCAUGGCCGUUCUUAGUUGGUGGAGUGAUUUGUCUGCUUAAUUGCGUUAAC